GACGAACCGUGCGAACGUUAUUCGGAAUCACUGGGCUUAAAGCGCGUGUAGGCGGGGUGGCACGUCGGUCGCUGAAAGCCCCCGGCUCAACCGGGGAAGGGGCGCCGAUACGACCACCCUGGAGGGACGUAGGGGGACCUGGAACUUCCGGUGGAGCGGUGAAAUGCGUUGAGAUCGGAAGGAACGCCCGUGGCGAAAGCGAGGUCCUGGACGUUUGCUGACGCUGAGACGCGAAAGCCAGGGGAGCGAACGGG
RNAcentral lists this ribosomal RNA (254 nucleotides) under uncultured bacterium. RNAcentral's name for it is "partial 16S ribosomal RNA". It matches the Rfam family "Bacterial small subunit ribosomal RNA", at positions 524 to 776 of the family's 1533-position model. The record is from RNAcentral.